CCUGGUGGUUCAGGGGCGUAUGUACCACCCGAUCCCAUUCCGAACUCGGAAGUGAAAGUGCGCUUCGUCGAUGAUACUGCCGCAAGGUGGGACAGUAGACUCCGCCGGGA
This 110-nucleotide ribosomal RNA is filed under the name Candidatus Beckwithbacteria bacterium RIFOXYD1_FULL_50_11. Lineage: Bacteria; Candidatus Beckwithiibacteriota. RNAcentral also lists the same sequence under 1 other name. The record is from RNAcentral.